This is a long non-coding RNA of Sinocyclocheilus grahami, 1201 nucleotides long. RefSeq lists it as uncharacterized. Lineage: Eukaryota; Metazoa; Chordata; Actinopteri; Cypriniformes; Cyprinidae. The record is from RefSeq and is a predicted model, not a curated record. The transcript has 5 exons.
CGCUCUGUCUCACAUCAUUGAGUUUGCUCCUCAAAGGUAGCGCAUGGAGGAGAACAGCAGGGAGGAAGGUUUAUCGAAAGCAAAAUGGUGAUGCAUGUGUUGUUACUGCCUUCAGGCCCUGCUGAUGCUUUCUUUGAAGAACCUAAUAAUGUGAGUUCUUGUUUGGUCAUGCAGCAGCUGUGUUGGAGUUGGCAGGUGGUUAAACGGGUGACCAGGGGACUGGAUGGCUGGCUGCAGUGUCUCGGCGUCUCUCUCCCCCUGAGUCCAGGUCUCUGGCUGGAACACGGUGACCUAUAGCUGCUCUUGGCAGGGCCGUGGGGUUACCAAAAGGGCAGAACUGCUCUCCGAAUCGGGCAUCUGAGAAAUAUCUGAGAAGCAAUGAUGAGAGACAUGCAUACUAAUAAAAGUCGCUCCUCCAAACACAUGGCAAAAAUUCUCGUUAGGGUUAGAUGCUCCCCGAGGGCUUCGCCAGCCCUCCUUUCUCCUCACUCAUUUACACCACUGCACUGAUGCAUGCUGGAAUUGAUAACACAGACACCUUCUCUUAUCUUGUCUUACCGUAGUCUUUUGAGUAGGAGUCCUUUGUUAUCGACCUGGCAAGGAGCAAAGGGAUGUCACAGACUCAAAUGGAUUUUUAAGAUGCUUUCACCAAAUGUUCGACAGCUGCUGGCCUGAUGAAUUUGAUCGAUGAUGUGUUGAAACCAGUACAAGGUUGUUGCUGAGGGGACGGGUGUUGCUGCUGUGGUGACAGUAAGAAGCAAUGCAUUGCGCCGAUAGAUGGCCGAGAGAAACAGGAAGCAGUGGCCAACUCCUGCAGACACUAGGAACGCUUCAUGGUCCAGUGAUGAAUUGCAAAUAGAGGAUCAGAGUCUGGCACAUGAAAGUGAUUGAGAGGAGGGAAGGAGGGGGAAAGAGACAAAGAGAGCGAGAGAGAGAUUCCCUUUAUGCUCACUGUGUCAGGCCUCAGUCUUUGACUUCGGUCGGGACUAAUGAUCGUUCUGAUAUGGGCAAGUAAUUGGUGUCUAGGGAUGUUAGACUACAAUGUCUUUUACAUAACGUAAUAGGCAACCCAGUAUAGGCUGCAAUAUUUAGUCAGGAAGGCGAUUAAAACUAAGGGAGUGACAUUCGGGUGAUGCACUGCCCAAUUGGCAGGACUGGGCAAGCAAUUACAAUCGUUUUUGGCAGAAGCAUAUGUAGUUUU